Branchiostoma floridae (Florida lancelet) is the source of this 7564-nucleotide long non-coding RNA. RefSeq lists it as uncharacterized. NCBI's taxonomy places the organism in Eukaryota, Metazoa, Chordata, Leptocardii, Amphioxiformes, Branchiostomatidae. The record is from RefSeq and is a predicted model, not a curated record. The transcript is spliced from 2 exons.
GUUAAGUAGCCUUUCAUAAACUUCUUGUACAAUUAGAUAUACAGUACAGCCUCCGGGUUUUUCAGCAUCGUGUUUCGUGAUCACGCAAGUCGCCCCGCGUGUUCACGCAAGUCGCCCCGCGUGAUGAGGCGAUCGCCCCGCGUGAUUAUGGGUUACGUCUUGCGCGGCACACGCGUGACAACAAUCGUGCGUGACAACACGCAAGGUGUAAAAACGUGGUGUGAGACCGUCUAGGCCAGCCUUCCUGAACUCUGCCGAGGACCCGUGCGUCUUUAACGUCCCUUGGGGCGAACUGUUGCGUCAGUGGGAAGCCGCUUUAGAUACUACAUUUUACGCAACGAUUGUGUAGCGCAAAAAGAUAAAAUUACGUAACAAAGUAACGGGUAGAGUAGCUGCCUAUCUAAGGCUGCACAACUGUCGAUUUUUUCAUUGAAAUAAUGGCUAGAUUAUAUAAGAAAUUAGACGAGUGGAGACAACAAGUUGCAGACAACUGGUGCAAUAGCGGCACGUAUCGCCUCGGCCCGGAGAGCCUUCUCUCUUAUCUCACCGAUCUCGAAUAAAACCUCGUAUACGUUUACCAGAAAAUUCCCUAAAGUUUGAAAUAUGACCCUGCAAAUUGACCGACAGUGUGGUGUUUUAGACAUCGUGUUUACAAGCGGCAAAUACUUUACAAGUACGCUGCAAUACACAGUGAUUAAAACACGAACAGAAUGCCGGCCCUUUUGAUCGACAUGUACUUUCGGUCUGCUUUCGGUGUCGGCUAACGAGCCUGUCUACUUACGAGGUACAUGUACCAAGAUUUUUUUCUAACUAGGAGGAAAGCCGACGGACAUAUUUUCAUAAGUUGGAUCCUUCUUUCUUGAAUGUCUGUAAUUUAGUUAAUUAUACCGACCUCGAUGAGUAGAGGAAACAGUUAAUUGUCACAAAUAAACACUGUGCCGGAAUGUUCAGUCCUCCCAACGCUGCAUCACCCGACGGCCGUGCGUUGAAGAUAAGGUUACGUUUGUCUAUGCCGCCGAAACUCGAGAAGUUCCGAUCAAAAGAGAUUGCGACACUAUUCCUCGUCUCUGAUUGGUUGUCGAAAAUGAUUGAAUUUUCGUCCCGCGAAACUUCAGACAGCCCGGCGCCGGGCGGCAAAACUUCAAACAGCCGCGAUAUGUCAAUCAAGACCACGUCCGUGAGAAAGUGUAUGUUUCUUGAGUUGCGGUUUUGGCGAAACACUAUCAAAAUGCAGAACCUAUAUUUCAUUUUUAUCCGGAUCAUAGACUAUCCUCAUUAUUUCAUGUUAGAUUUAAAGCGCUCAAAUUCUAAGUAAAUUGCAGUUUGGAAAGUUGUACCCACAGAAAAGUUGUUCAGAUGGCAUUCAUGUUUGUAUACACGUGAGGUACAUUUUGUACGUGCGGGUCCAAUCUUUUCAGCUUGCGCUGUUCUUUACAUUUUGCCGUAUUUUUCUGUGUUUCGUGGAUAUAUAAAUUGAAUAUAUGAGGACAUGAAUUGGCUAUUUAGACGCAUGAAGUGACCACUAAUGUUUCUAUAUACAUACAUUUCUAUAUAAUAUAAACGACAUACAUGUACAUGUAAUAUGAAUAAAGGAUAUUGUGUUUGAUCAUAACUUACUAUUUCUAGAUACACUGACGUUCCUUGGUUAGACAUCGAUAGCUACUUUUCUACGCUAGUAAAGUAGAAUUCAGGUUUCCAUCCGCCGGUUUCCUUGACACUGCUGAACGUCACGGUUGCAACUAAUGGCAUGAAGACCUACCUGGAUUCAGGUUUCCAUCCGCCGGUUUCUUUGACACACUGCUGAUCGUCACGGUUGCAACUCGGCCAACAAAACCUACCUGUUCCUGAGUUCUUGUGUCGGAACACCGCCAUCGCCAUCGGACGAUCCGGGUCGUCAGUCAGUCGACGGACGCAACCAUACUCAAGGGCAUACUGGUAUAUUAAACCUAAUGUGUUUUUAUUCUAUGUGUUAAUUGUGUUUUGUCUGCGUAUCUGUUCAAUCUUAUAUCUGUGUAUCUGUUUUAACACAGUUGUGUUGGCGCCACUAAUAUUACCUCUACUGUAUACAUUAAAGAUAGAGGUUUCUAGGCUAGGAAAGUAGAAUUCAGGUUUCCAUCCGCCGGUUCCCUUGACACACUGCUGAUCGUCACGGUUUCUUGAUCUUGAUCUUGAUCUUGAUUGGGUACUGGACAACGCCCCUCAGUUGGGGCAAAGCGUCCGGUUGCAACUUGGCCAACAAAACUUACCUGUUCCUGGCGCAGCUCUUGUGUCGGAACACCGCCAUCGGACGAUCCGGGUCGUCAGUCAGUCGGCGGACGCAACCAUACUCAAGAGCAUACUGGUAUAUUAAACCUAAUGUGUUUUUAUUCUAUGUGUUAAUCGUGUUUUGUCUGCGUAUCUGUUCAAACUUAUAUCUGUUCUAACAAGGUUGUGUUGGCGUCACUAACAUUUCUUCUACUAUGUAACGUUUCUAUAUAACUUUCUAACAUGUUUGAGUCAGUUUAGCUACAACUGUUAUGGGCUGUUCAAGGAAGUUCACUCUUUUACACAUACUCGGACUGUUUGUCACUCUUUUACACAUACUCGGACUGUUUGUCACUCUUUUACACAUACUCGGACUGUUUGUCAGCAACACGUAUAUAUCUGGUCGAGAUACUACAAAGAGAGUUUGGGCCGAUAUUUAUGUGAAUACAUACACAUUAGAUAGAUAUAAACGGCGUCAUGACAUAUUACUGCCCUUGGAACAUGAAAGGUAAGUUUAAUACCGAUCUUAUCGAUCGUCAUUCGGCAGCUUCUACACCGUCAGGAUCGACCAUCAUCUGUUCCGUAUGUUGGAAAUACGGUAGGUUGUUCAUUUUAUUAAAUAUGUCAGUGUAUGAAUAAAUUUGAUACAUUUUUUUAACAACAACAAAGGGGACAUAUAGUACAUUACUAUGGUGUAGUACACAGUAGUGCCGCACUCAAGCAGACUGGCUUAUAUUAACGGCACCACUGGGCAAAACAUUAAGAAAGCAUUCUCAAUUCUUUGAUCGUGGCUACAUUGGCUUGAACCGGUAGCGUAAUGAGUUCGAUAUUCAUUGAUCAUCCACCCCUGUAACAUUGCCACGAACAUAGUUCAAAUAUGAUCUACGCUACCGAUAUACAGUCUACAAAGUAUUUCAAUUAGUCUGUUUUAGACACUGUUGUUAAUACAAAUGAAGAAGAAAAAAAUUAGACAAACCAAGAAGAAAUAGCCACAUAUUAAACACGGGGCUAGUGCAGAGAAGAAAAUUCACGCAGAAUAUUGUAACAGUCAUCGUGGCCUCCUUCUGUGGGAACAUAGUUUCAAAGAAGCCGCUCCUUGCCGCACAUGUGUCAAUCAAAUUCAGCAGCACGUAAGCGCAGACCUAAUUUUUUUCGUAAAGUCUACCGACACUUGAACAGUUACGUCAAUCGUGUACUUGCACACACUUAACAAUCAAAUCAUCUGUUGAUUUUAUCGCAACAAUGUUGGGCUCAUAUUGGCGCCCAAAAAAGACAAAAGAAAAGGUUGACAACAUGUCGCACGACGUUCUAGAGCUAGCCCACACAAACCGUGCAUACGUCUAAAUGUAAUAUGAUACACUAGUAGUUGGCCGAGGCAAAGGAAUUUGCAUAAACAGGUCACGUUCCAGCUUUCCUCUGUGCGGUGCUUGAUGUUCGGAUGUAGGUAUCUGCCGGUCGAAGCCCGUUUAGUUGGUAGUGUGACCUCCUGGAUUUUGUACAACUGCACUGGCCGCAUGGGACAUUCCUUGGUCAUUUUACGAAAGUUAUCUGUUAAAUGGUCUGUAAUGGGUGCUAGAAGCGGUCAGAGAAACUUACCUUGUUGGCGGAGAAAACAUGUAACAAGUUAAUGAUGUAACGUUACGCAAGUUUCAUUUUUGCCCGAGGCCUGGACGAGGUUUCUUUUCCAGUGAUUGGACAAAACUAGGUCAAAAUUUGCAUAAACAGAUCACAUUACAAUUUUCGUGCCACGCAGCUUGUAGCGAGACUGCAUCUACCGAUUGGAAGCUCGUGGAAUAGAUUAGAUACAUUUGUACAUUUUGUAUGUCCCACAGUUUUAAAGUUGUGGGUCAGGGACCACCAGGAUUUUGCACGACCACAGGGUCUGCAUGUAUAACUCAAUUAAUAUUAUUAUGCUAAAGUUCAGUUUGUCCCAGCCUUUGUCCAAAGAUGAGCAUUACAAACAAAACAAAGCCUUUCCAUAUUCUUGCUACUUCUUUAUAGUUCUAGUAGCGUCUACAUCGUGUAACGAGCCGUGGUAAAAGUACAGUACACUAUUAAUUGUCUUCAUUAUGAGUAUACGUACACCAUGUGAUACCGUCCAUCGCAACAACAGAUCCUAAAACACAUUGUCAAAUACAACAACAACAUAUCAUUGGAAGGAUUUGUUCGGUCGGUGAGACCUUGCAUAACUAAAUUUUCCAGACGUGUUUUCCACGCGUUUUUUUUUCUUGCGACAGCCGCGGCUCGUUCUGUUGUUGUUUUCGCUCGCCGUGCGUGGCAGCGCCGAAAGAAUUGCCGUAGCUGAGCGCAAGAAAAAAAGAAAGAAAAAAACAUCGUGUGGAAAAUUUCGUUCUUUUUCUUUUAUUCACACGCAUCGGAUUCAAACAUGUGCUGGACAGUCGGUCCCUCAAAUAGUAGCAAAUCUUCCGACAAACAACGUGAGAGGGAACGGCGCAAGUGCGGGGUCUCACCAUAUCUCCUGGAGAUUUUGCUCGGCUGGCCCUGGAGCCAGCCGCGGCGGCACCGAAAGAUCGGGGGCCCGGUACAAGCAUACUUUGCCAAAUCGACAUUAUUCAUUGCUCUUAAACUUACCAUACCGGAUUUUCUGAUAUCAAUAAAACAAACAUCUUGUGGAAAAAUCAUUUGCUGUUCUUUUAUUUAGACGUAUCAUGUUCAAACAUGCGCUGCACGUCACAGACGGUUCGUAGCAAAUUUGUAGCAAAUCUUCGAUUGAAACAACGUGGGAACAGCACGGGUGAGUUCUAGACCGCGAACGUGUGCCAGGUCUCCCACCAGAGAUCGUGUUACGGGACACGGUUUACGCCCUGCGUGAGUCACGCGUGACCGCAAUCGCAACGCUGCGUGUGCCACGCACAGUCCUGCGUGUGUCACGCAAAACCCUGCGUGAGGUCACGAAAAAUUCUCCGUGAUUGCGUCCGUGAUAUGCUGUGAAACCCGAAGGCCGUACUGUAAGCUAGUAGAAAAGAGAAGUUCUGUUUGUAGAAGUCAUUUUAGCAAUUUUGUUGUCAAAACUAUACUACAAAAAAACCUGUUGUAUGGAGAUCUACCACCGCUAUCUCAAGUCAUACAAGAAAGAAUACUAAGGUUGACGCUGGACACGCAUGCCGGAAUAAAGGAACUAUUAGUGAUGUUCUUCUUUUGAUACCAAAACAUGCAAGUGUAGGAAAACCAAUGUAAAACCUAUCUAGGUCAGCCUUGCAAAGUUGCUUGCUGUUAAGUGGAAGGUGUGUGGAAAGUGCCCGAGGCUAUGGAGGAUAUGGAUGGAUGGAGGGACAGAGUCAUGUGCAUCCUUGCAACCAGCACAACCAUUUGAUUGUUACAGAACUGACUUCCAUUGUGCAUGAUUGCAGUCUUUAGGACAGGACGUUAAUCUGGGUCAUUGUGCUUAUCAAAAGAGCUAGGGGGAAUUUCCCCGGAACAAUGAACCUGUAAAUACUGUACAUAGCAUCAGUCCUCUCUGUCACGACCAGUGGAAGACUAGCUCUUCAGUGUGCUAAACCUGGAUCAAGCUUAGCCUGUGUUUACACAAGCUCUCGCCGGCUGGGCUUAAUGACCCCCUCCCCCCGAGAGCUUGUGGCCGAACAGUUCUAAGCCGCGCGGACCAUUCCAGUUUCUGGAGUCACCAAUAGGAAGCCAGGAUAGGAAUUACUAUGGUAACCGCCCAGCCAUCACGUGAUCCCCGGCGCCAGGCCGGGCGGAGUAGUAGGCGGGGACAGGAAACUUGAUCGAUCCCCCGCGUGCAGUUCUCAGAAAAAUGGCGACGGACAGCACAACCGCAGAGUUUCGGAACGUCCUGCAGACAGUGUGUGCGGACUUUGGGAGUCCCUGGCCCCUGAAGCCGCUUCAGGAAGAGACGAUCAAAUACUGUAAUUCUUGAAAUUCUCGCGUCUGGAAAUUAUAGCGUUUUGUGGAAAAUGGAGUAACUCGCGUCACUUAAUUUUAGCGUUGUGAAGGAGGCGCUAAAUUUUCAGUCGGAUGUGUGAAAAAAUAGCAUGAAUAUUACCAAAACCCUCGGUCGUUUACAUGUCUAAAGUCCGAAAAAUACAUGACUAGAAAUAACAUACACGCCGGCGCUGCGUGUGGUUCUGAAUAAUAAACAACUACCGUACCGACGCGGUGAUUUCAAAACGCGCUUGACGACCGCCGACUCUGGCCGGCCGGCGGCCCGCUUAAUUUUGGCGGACAUAGCCGACCCAACGACGACAACAGCCCACUUGAUACUGCUGUCGUGAAUAAGGAAGCCGAGAAAGCCAUACAGGCGGCGAACAGCGAGAAAAAACGUAGCGGGAACCACCACCAUACUCCGGAAGCAGGACCAAGAUUGCGAAAUUUGGUAGCGAAAACUUGUGAGGGACGUCAGCGAAUCUCGAAUCGGCCACGCAUUCGAUCAAAAAGAAGAAGAAGAAAAAGACGUUUCUGGAAGAAGUCGCCCGCCAUGGAACGAACAAGAUCGCAAAAUUUUCACGCAAAAAAACAUCGCCAGACUUGAAGGUUGCCGACCUCGAUGCGGCGCCGCAGAAAUAAUUUUGUGAGAACCAUGCGGCGCACGGUCGGCGCCAUUUUGAAACUUGAUUGUUGUUGUUUGUACGCUUGGGUGGCGGCGGAUUCUUGUAAUGAGGGUUUGAUUCCGAAUUGUUCGUAGCUCACAAAAAACACGCCUUACAUAUUGCGCUUUGACGCUAUGAAUUUGACUGUAUUUCAUCCUAGAAAUUCGUAGAUUUACACCAAAUAUUCCGUAGUGGCUCUGUAUUUUUUUCUGCGACGACAUUUUUGCUGUUGUUGUCUGCACGCUAAGAUGACGCGGACAUUUUCUUGUAUAACAUCGUAGCACAACGUGAACUUCGUAACUGUUUUGUAUAUUUUAUGGACAAACUUCUAAAUCGUAGCGUAGAAUAAUAUUGAUAAAUACGAUUGUGUAAACAUGCAGCUCAGCUCGUAACGAAUUUGUGUUGUUUGCGUCAGCAUGCUUUCACUGCAUUUUGUAAAAGAAAUGACGACAAACUUUCCAUUUAAAUAUAUGUUUUAUUUCUUGAAACGAAACUUUUUGGCACAUCAAAGGCCGGCCGACAUCCAUCAUUGCGUAGCGACCGACAGGCCCGUAGCAACCGGCUCCGCUGGGUGCCAUGCCGGCGGCGGGCGCGCGUGACUUUUGCAUCUCAUUAGCACCAUAUAUGGAGGCCCACUGUCGACAAUAUCCGCGAGGUUUAGACGGACCUGACAUCAAGCUCCUACGGGUGGCGGCAAUUGUAGGGCCGGCCGCUAGGGGCUUGAUUUUAGUCAGGCUAGGAUCAAGCUCACU